Molecule: ribosomal RNA, 147 nt
Filed under: uncultured bacterium
Lineage: Bacteria
Description: partial 16S rRNA
Rfam family: Bacterial small subunit ribosomal RNA
Source: RNAcentral
CAGCAGUGGGGAAUUUUCCGCAAUGGGCGAAAGCCUGACGGAGCAAUGCCGCGUAGAGGUGGAAGGCCUACGGGUCGUCAACUCCUUUUCUCGGAGAAGAAACAAUGACGGUAUCUGAGGAAUAAGCAUCGGCUAACUCUGUGUCAG